Molecule: long non-coding RNA, 809 nt
Organism: Mastomys coucha (southern multimammate mouse)
Lineage: Eukaryota; Metazoa; Chordata; Mammalia; Rodentia; Muridae
Exons: 5
Source: RefSeq, a predicted model, not a curated record
GCAGUUGACUGUCACCCAGAAUACCCUUUGGUGGCUUUCCUACUUCACUCUUUUGCCUUCAAAUGAAACUGCACUUUUACAAGUCGGAACAUUUAAAGGAUGAGGGCUUUAUGAAGCCUAGGUUGAUCUCAAGAAUGUUAAGUAGCUGAAGAUGAAUUUGAACUCCUGAUCUACCCUCUUCAUUUCUCAAGUAUCAAGAACAUCCAUGAUACUACGAAGCUUAUCACUACCAUACCUGCUGAUGGGAGUGUAGAAAACAGACUAUGCAGGUGAGGGAAUGUAAAAUGUGGACAUCCUGAAAUUAAACUGGCACAUGCUUCUGAAUACAAAUCUGCAACAAUUACCCUUCUUGUCAUCAGUUAAUGUAUCCACACCUGAAAUACAAAAUGGAAGAAGAACAGAAAGACUAUGGUGGUGUCUAGAGUUACUGGAGAAGAGUGGAUAGUGUCUUGAAGGUUUUGAAGAAUCCCUUCCUAGGAGAUGAACCAAGGAUUUCAGCUGCUGACUAAGCAUAACUCUUGGGCAUGGUAUAAAAUGAUGAAAGAAAAGUUAUCACAAUCCAUGAAGUUAGCACCCUUAGAAGAGACAGAAUCCCACCUGCUGUGGGCCCCACACUACAGACAGAGAGCAUCAGCUCCAAGCAACCCUCCACUGAAGACAGAGACUGCAGACAGACCCCAGCUCACAAGCCUAGCUGCUUUUCCUCCCCAAUGAUGUUUGCAUCCUCUUAAACCAUGAACCAAAAUACUUCCUUGUUUACAUUGUUUCUGUUAGACAUUUUGGCACAGAAAUAAAAGGUCUCUCUCUCU